UACGAAGGGGGCUAGCGUUGCUCGGAAUCACUGGGCGUAAAGCGCACGUAGGCGGACUCUUAAGUCGGUGGUGAAAUCCCGGAGCUCAACUCCAGAACUGCCUUCGAUACUGGGAGUCUUGAGUCCGAGAGAGGUGAGUGGAACUGCGAGUGUAGAGGUGAAAUUCGUAGAUAUUCGCAAGAACACCAGUGGCGAAGGCGGCUCACUGGCUCGGUACUGACGCUGAGGUGCGAAAGCGUGGGGAGCAAACAGG
This 253-nucleotide ribosomal RNA is filed under the name uncultured bacterium. Its description in RNAcentral is "partial 16S ribosomal RNA". It matches the Rfam family "Bacterial small subunit ribosomal RNA", at positions 524 to 776 of the family's 1533-position model. The record is from RNAcentral.